RNAcentral lists this ribosomal RNA (744 nucleotides) under uncultured bacterium. Its description in RNAcentral is "bacterial SSU rRNA". It matches the Rfam family "Bacterial small subunit ribosomal RNA", at positions 33 to 773 of the family's 1533-position model. The record is from RNAcentral.
ACGCUGGCGGCAUGCCUUACACAUGCAAGUCGAACGGCAGCACGGAGCUUGCUCUGGUGGCGAGUGGCGAACGGGUGAGUAAUAUAUCGGAACGUACCCUGGAGUGGGGGAUAACGUAGCGAAAGUUACGCUAAUACCGCAUACGAUCUAAGGAUGAAAGUGGGGGAUCGCAAGACCUCAUGCUCGUGGAGCGGCCGAUAUCUGAUUAGCUAGUUGGUAGGGUAAAAGCCUACCAAGGCAUCGAUCAGUAGCUGGUCUGAGAGGACGACCAGCCACACUGGAACUGAGACGCGGUCCAGACUCCUACGGGAGGCAGCAGUGGGGAAUUUUGGACAAUGGGCGCAAGCCUGAUCCAGCAAUGCCGCGUGAGUGAAGAAGGCCUUCGGGUUGUAAAGCUCUUUUGUCAGGGAAGAAACGGUGAGGGCUAAUAUCCUUUGCUAAUGACGGUACCUGAAGAAUAAGCACCGGCUAACUACGUGCCAGCAGCCGCGGUAAUACGUAGGGUGCAAGCGUUAAUCGGAAUUACUGGGCGUAAAGCGUGCGCAGGCGGUUUGCAAGUCUGAUGUGAAAUCCCCGGGCUCAACCUGGGAAUUGCAUUGGAGACUGCAAGGCUAGAAUCUGGCAGAGGGGGGUAGAAUUCCACGUGUAGCAGUGAAAUGCGUAGAUAUGUGGAGGAACACCGAUGGCGAAGGCAGCCCCCUGGGUCAAGAUUGACGCUCAUGCACGAAAGCGUGGGGAGCAAAC